UAGGGAAUAUUGGACAAUGGGUGAGAGCCUGAUCCAGCCAUGCCGCGUGCAGGAAGAAGGCGUUAUGCGUUGUAAACUGCUUUUUGCCAGGGGAUAAAAUGACCGUGCGCGGUUAAUUGAAGGUACCUGGUGAAUAAGCCACGGCUAACUACGUGCCAGCAGCCGCGGUAAUACGUAGGUGGCAAGCGUUGUCCGGAUUUAUUGGGUUUAAAGGGUGCGUAGGUGGCCCUGUAAGUCAGUGGUGAAAUAUCUCAGCUUAACUGAGAGGGUGCCAUUGAUACUGCAGGGCUUGAGUACAGAUGAGGUAGGCGGAAUUGACGGUGUAGCGGUGAAAUGCAUAGAUAUCGUCAAGAACACCGAUAGCGAAGGCAGCUUACCAAGUUGUAACUGACACUGAGGCACGAAAGUGUGGGGAUCAAACAGGAUUAGAUACCCCAGUAGUCCCUGAGCGGGCUGGCAAGGCGCAU
RNAcentral lists this ribosomal RNA (467 nucleotides) under uncultured bacterium. RNAcentral describes it as "bacterial SSU rRNA". It matches the Rfam family "Bacterial small subunit ribosomal RNA", at positions 355 to 825 of the family's 1533-position model. The record is from RNAcentral.